Molecule: non-coding RNA, 107 nt
Organism: Acanthosepion pharaonis
Lineage: Eukaryota; Metazoa; Mollusca; Cephalopoda; Sepiida; Sepiidae
Source: the annotation of a GenBank genome assembly
AGCCACAUUACGUUGAAAUACUGGUCCUCGUCCGAUCACCGAAGUUAAGCAACGUUGAGCCUGGUCACUAUCAAGUUGGGUGACCCUUUGGAAAAAGUAGGUGAUGU